This 2936-nucleotide long non-coding RNA is filed under the name Mus musculus (house mouse). Its description in RNAcentral is "long non-coding RNA chr11:84233850-84236786". Lineage: Eukaryota; Metazoa; Chordata; Mammalia; Rodentia; Muridae. The record is from RNAcentral.
GAAAGAAAUUCAAAGGUGAGCCUGGGAAUUGAAGGCUUUUUCUUUUUCCCACAAAAAUAUCCUCCAGUUCAAGAUAAAACAACCAGCUAGGCACGGUAGCUCACAAACCUAGCACUCAGGAGUCUGAAGCAGGAAAAUAUUAACUUCAAGGGCAGCCUUGUCUACAUAGUAAGACUUGCUUCAAAAAACUAACCAAACACAAAAACUAGCCUCUUCCUCAAGAAGAAGGAAGGGGGGAAGAAACCCAAAAAACAAACAAACAAACAAACAAAAACCCAAACCUUGCAAAAUGGCUAGAAUUUUCAUUUGUCUGUAAGACUAAGAAGACAAAAUUUAGACUUUAGUGAUAGUUGAACAUGUAGUUUUGGAGGCUCCAAGGACUCUUAUAUUUUAUGUUGGGAUCCUAAAGGACUGCACUAUCGUAGGAAGAAUGAACCAGAGGUAGACCACAACCCUCAUAGGAACUAAAGCUCAGACUGAAAGCACUCAACUUGACUUAGUUAUUAUGGUUUUAAUUGCCAAUGCUUCUGCCCAUCUGCAUGCAUAAAGCAAGUGCCCAUCCCCUCCAGAGGAAGGUUAUAUAUAGAACUUCAAAUUAGUACUACUGAUUUUUCAUCUAUAUAAUGGACACGAUUCAGAACCAGGAACAAGAGUUAGCAGAGACAGUUCCAAAGAGGAAUUAGAUAAUAGAGCUAUCAGACAAGGCCCUUCCAGUACCUAUGCUUAGUACAUUUAAGAAAAUUAAAGGCAACACUGAGACUUUUGGCCGAGAAUUAGAAAUCAUAAAAAAGUAACAUUCUAGAACUGAAAAUACAGCAACUGAAGUGAAGGCAUCAGCAUAAGAAUUAAAUAGCAUGUUAGAGAAAAUUGAAGGGUGAGUCAAUCUUUGGAAAAUAGAAGAAAGUUUAGACUCAAGCAUAGAAAGAGACAAAAAGACCAAAAAAAUUACAGAAAAAAAUGAUGUAUUAGUUUCAAAGGUGACUGUGAAAGCAUCCGUCUCUGUAUGCCUUUUACUGUAUGGCUUAUGAUCGUGUCUCUUAUCAUCAAGAGGAGACAUCCUCUUUUUCACCCUUUAUGUUCCAAUUGUCCUUUCAAUUUAUUUUGACCAACGAAAGGAAGCAGAAAUUCUGAAGCUUACAUUUCAAGUGGUUGUGUUGUUUAUAUAUCUUGCCUAAUUGGAAUGAGCCCUCAACUGCUAUUUGCAGAAUACAUUCUACCCUUCUAGAGAAAGGGAAACCAUGAAGCAGAGAAGAAUCCUUUAGCCAAGGCCUCUGAAUCCUACUGGAUUACUGUUGUCACCAUAUUUGAAUAUUCCAGGGAGUUUUUAUAGACAAUCCAACCCUAGUUGAGUGCACAAGUGACAGAUUUACCAGCUAAGUCUAGCUCAAAUUACUGUCCAAAGUCACUAGGUUUUUGUUUUUUUUUUUCUCUAUUGUUUUUAAGUUCGCUAGCUAGAGCCAUUGGUCAGUAAUAGAAAGUUUGCCCAGCAUACAUUAGGCUCUAGAUUUGAUCCCUAGUACUGCUAGACAAAUAAGCACAAUAAAGGGAAACCAGUGUCAAAGCAUGACUGAGAGAGGAAGUGAUAGCAAAAGGUGUGAUGCUACCACCAUGAAACAGGUGACACUAUUUUAGAAUAAUUAGCUCAUGGGCUAAAUAUGCUGAAAAGGGUAUUAAUAACAUUGUAGGGAUGGUGUACUGGCUAGUUUUGUGUCAACUUGACACAGCUGGAGUUACCACAGAGAAAGGAGCUUCAGUUGAGGAAAUGCCUCCAUGAGAUCCAACUCUAAGGCAUUUUCUCAAUUAGUGAUCAAGGGGGAAAGGCCCCUUGUGGGUGGGACCAUCUCUGGGCUGGUAGUCUUGGUUCUAUAAGAGAGCAGGCUGAGCAAGCCAGGGGAGGCAAGCUAGUAAGGAACAUCCCUCCAUGGACUCUGCAUCAGCUCCUGCUUCCUGACCUGCUUGGGUUCCAGUCCUGACUUCCUUUGGUGAUGAACAGCAGUAUGGAAGUGUAAGCUGAAUAAACCCUUUCCUCCCCAAUUUGUUUCUUGGUCAUGAUGUUUGUGCAGGAAUAGAGACCCUGACUAAGACAGAUGGUGAGCACACUGUUAAUGGGGCUAGAAAGUAGUAGAGUGUUAUUAAUAGAAUCUGAAAACAAGAUUGCCCACAUUCUGUAAUAGUGGAACAACUGGCAAAAACUAUUAUCUGAGAUAACUUAAAAGAUAAUGAAGUUCAGAGCUGGAGAGAUGACUUGGCUGUUUACAACAUGAACUGCUCUUGUAGAGUACUAGAGUUAAGUUCCCAGCACUAUCUGGUGAGUCACAACUGCCUGUAAUUCUAGCUCAGGGACAUCUGAUGUCUUUGUCUGGCCUCUAAGGGCACUUGGACUCUUGUGCACAUACCAUCACACAGACAUACAUAUAAUUAAAUAAUAAUAAUUUUAAAAACUUAAAAAGAUAAUAUAAUUUAUGAAGUCAUAAAUCUGAUUAAGAAGAUCUCAAAACGAAAUAUUGAAAAUAUCUAUUAAUGAUGAGUAUAAUUAUAAAAGGUGAGGCCUUGGGUGUGUACCCCAGGUGUUAACAUGCUUGUUUUAGCAUGCAUGAGCAUCACAUAAACUGUACAUGGUUAUAUAUGCCUGUAUUCUCAGCACUCAAGGAAGCAGAGGAGGAUCAGGAUUUGUAGGUCCUCCUCAGAUACCUAUUGAGUUAAACACACAGCCUGGCUACUUGAGACAUUGUAUCAAAAGCAAUAGGGGCUGGAGAAUGGCUCUGAAGUUCAGAGCACUGACUGCUUUUCCAGAGGGCCUGGCUUUGAUUCCCAGCACUCAAGUGGGCGCUCACAGUCAGUCUCAGGGGAUCUCCCAUCUGCCCUUCUCAAACACCAGGUACUCAUGUGGUGCAUAGAUACAAUGCAAGCAAAUCAUCCAUACACAUAAAAUCCCU